GAUGAACGCUGGCGGCGUGCCUAAUACAUGCAAGUCGAGCGAACAGAUAAGGAGCUUGCUCCUUUGACGUUAGCGGCGGACGGGUGAGUAACACGUGGAUAACCUACCUAUAAGACUGGGAUAACUUCGGGAAACCGGAGCUAAUACCGGAUAACAUAUUGAACCGCAUGGUUCAAUAGUGAAAGGCGGCUUUGCUGUCACUUAUAGAUGGAUCCGCGCCGUAUUAGCUAGUUGGUAAGGUAACGGCUUACCAAGGCAACGAUACGUAGCCGACCUGAGAGGGUGAUCGGCCACACUGGAACUGAGACACGGUCCAGACUCCUACGGGAGGCAGCAGUAGGGAAUCUUCCGCAAGGGGCGAAAGCCUGACGGAGCAACGCCGCGUGAGUGAUGAAGGUCUUCGGAUCGUAAAACUCUGUUAUCAGGGAAGAACAAAUGUGUAAGUAACUGUGCACAUCUUGACGGUACCUGAUCAGAAAGCCACGGCUAACUACGUG
RNAcentral lists this ribosomal RNA (497 nucleotides) under uncultured bacterium. RNAcentral describes it as "partial 16S ribosomal RNA". It matches the Rfam family "Bacterial small subunit ribosomal RNA", at positions 28 to 507 of the family's 1533-position model. The record is from RNAcentral.